Molecule: unclassified non-coding RNA, 334 nt
Filed under: soil metagenome
Description: partial contains 5.8S ribosomal RNA, internal transcribed spacer 2, and large subunit ribosomal RNA
Rfam family: 5.8S ribosomal RNA (bases 1-120)
Source: RNAcentral
GAUGAAGAACGCAGCGAAAUGCGAUAAGUAAUGCGAAUUGCAGAAUUCAGUGAAUCAUCGAAUCUUUGAACGCACAUUGCGCCCGCCAGUAUUCUGGCGGGCAUGCCUGUUCGAGCGUCAUUUCAACCAUCAAGCCCCAGGCUUGUGUUGGAGCCCUGCGGCUGCCGCAGCCUCCCAAAACCAGUGGCGGGCUCGCUAUCACACCGAGUGCAGUAGUUUACUCUUCGCUCAGGGCGUGUGGCGGGUGCUAGCCGUAAAACCCCCAACUUCUCAAGGUUGACCUCGGAUCAGGUAGGAAUACCCGCUGAACUUAAGCAUAUCAAUAAGCGGAGGA